This 65-nucleotide transfer RNA is filed under the name Eremias multiocellata. Its description in RNAcentral is "tRNA-Ser". Lineage: Eukaryota; Metazoa; Chordata; Lepidosauria; Squamata; Lacertidae. The record is from RNAcentral.
AAGAGGUCUGAGGAUUUUAUCUUCAGUUGUUCGAUUUAGCAGGUCUUUAUGUUCAUACACCUCUU